UACGGAAGGAGCAGUGGGGAAUAUUGCACAAUGGGCGCAAGCCUGAUGCAGCCAUGCCGCGUGUAUGAAGAAGGCCUUCGGGUUGUAAAGUACUUUCAGUCGUGAGGAAGGUGUUAAGGUUAAUAACCUUAGCAAUUGACGUUAGCGACAGAAGAAGCACCGGCUAACUCCGUGCCAGCAGCCGCGGUAAUACGGAGGGUGCGAGCGUUAAUCGGAAUUACUGGGCGUAAAGGGCACGCAGGCGGUUAAUUAAGUUGGAUGUGAAAUCCCCGGGCUUAACCUGGGAAUGGCAUUCAAGACUGGUUAGCUAGAGUCUUGUAGAGGGGGUAGAAUUCCAUGUGUAGCGGUGAAAUGCGUAGAGAUGUGGAGGAAUACCGGUGGCGAAAGGCGGCCCCUGGACAAAGACUGACGCUCAUGUGCGAAAGCUGGGGAGCAAAACAGGGAUUAGAUACC
This 453-nucleotide ribosomal RNA is filed under the name uncultured bacterium. Its description in RNAcentral is "bacterial SSU rRNA". It matches the Rfam family "Bacterial small subunit ribosomal RNA", at positions 340 to 786 of the family's 1533-position model. The record is from RNAcentral.